GAAACUUUGAAAGCAGUUAAGAAUUUCCCACUUCUCAAGCAAGGCACAGCCAAGAGGAUGUGCACUGAAUCUAGAAGGAAAAUCUGUGGCAUUUACGUGCCAUGCCUCUUCCUCUGACACCCUGAUACACAAUCAGGAGAAAACCUCCAAUUUCUGACAUCUUUCUAGAAGCCCAAGGAAAUCGCAGAAGUCAGUGGUGUUGCUGAACAACUGAGGCAUAACUCCUUGCAUGAUACUUCACCUACUUUCAUCAAUACAGGGUUUAUUUUUAAUUUGUAUUAUAUACAUAGCUUUCAGUUAGAAGAAUCCUACUGUUAAAAAAUAAAUUACUCCUUUAAAACUU
Long non-coding RNA from Suricata suricatta (meerkat), 343 nucleotides. RefSeq lists it as uncharacterized. The transcript has 2 exons. The record is from RefSeq and is a predicted model, not a curated record. NCBI's taxonomy places the organism in Eukaryota, Metazoa, Chordata, Mammalia, Carnivora, Herpestidae.